Molecule: ribosomal RNA, 297 nt
Filed under: Triticum aestivum (bread wheat)
Lineage: Eukaryota; Viridiplantae; Streptophyta; Magnoliopsida; Poales; Poaceae
Description: partial small subunit ribosomal RNA
Source: RNAcentral
AUGGGUGCCAAGGGUGUACUUAACAUUGUUUGGGUCAAUGUUAGCAACAUCCCUUUGGACAAAAGAUGUGAAAAAAAUAUUGCAUAUGUUGGAUCUUUGGUGGGUGUAACUCUAGACAUUGAUAAGUCUACUGUCAACGGACCCGAGUCGGUCAGGAUCAAACUGGGUUGUAGAGAUGCUGAGGACAUCCCAGCUAAGGCAGAGGGGGUAUUGGGAGAUCAUUUUUAUGAUUUCUUCUAUUCAGUGGACAAAAUCCUUGUUAAAAAUACCCCAAAAGAAAAAGUGUCAGUACCUUAG